AGGGAUCAUUACCGAGUUUACAACUCCCAAACCCAAUGUGAACCAUACCAAACUGUUGCCUCGGCGGGGUCACGCCCCGGGUGCGUCGCAGCCCCGGAACCAGGCGCCCGCCGGAGGGACCAACCAAACUCUUUUCUGUAGUCCCCUCGCGGACGUUAUUUCUCACAGCUCUGAGCAAAAAUUCAAAAUGAAUCAAAACUUUCAACAACGGAUCUCUUGGUUCUGGCAUCGAUGAAGAACGCAGCGAAAUGCGAUAAGUAAUGUGAAUUGCAGAAUUCAGUGAAUCAUCGAAUCUUUGAACGCACAUUGCGCCCGCCAGUAUUCUGGCGGGCAUGCCUGUCCGAGCGUCAUUUCAACCCUCGAACCCCUCCGGGGGGUCGGCGUUGGGGAUCGGGAACCCCUAAGACGGGAUCCCGGCCCCGAAAUACAGUGGCGGUCUCGCCGCAGCCUCUCCUGCGCAGUAGUUUGCACAACUCGCACCGGGAGCGCGGCGCGUCCACGUCCGUAAAACACCCAACUUCUGAAAUGUUGACCUCGGAUCAGGUAGGAAUACCCGCUGAACUUAA
This 566-nucleotide ribosomal RNA is filed under the name uncultured Trichoderma. Its description in RNAcentral is "eukaryotic LSU rRNA". The stretch from base 197 to 350 matches the Rfam family "5.8S ribosomal RNA". The record is from RNAcentral. Lineage: Eukaryota; Fungi; Ascomycota; Sordariomycetes; Hypocreales; Hypocreaceae.